This 253-nucleotide ribosomal RNA is filed under the name uncultured bacterium. Its description in RNAcentral is "partial 16S ribosomal RNA". It matches the Rfam family "Bacterial small subunit ribosomal RNA", at positions 524 to 776 of the family's 1533-position model. The record is from RNAcentral.
UACGGAGGGUGCAAGCGUUAUCCGGAUUCACUGGGUUUAAAGGGUGCGUAGGAGGGCAGGUAAGUCAGUGGUGAAAUCUCCAAGCUUAACUUGGAAACUGCCGUUGAUACUAUCUGUCUUGAAUACCGUGGAGGUGAGCGGAAUAUGUCAUGUAGCGGUGAAAUGCUUAGAUAUGACAUAGAACACCAAUUGCGAGGGCAGCUCGCUACACGAAUAUUGACUCUGAGGCACGAAAGCGUGGGGAUCAAACAGG